UUCAGAAAGGAGCAGACUGUGGAGCAAAGGUGGUAGAGAAAACGAACCCUACAGAACCAGUUGGAGUGGUUUGCCGAGUGGAUGGAGUUUACCAGGUGGUAGAAUAUAGUGAGAUUUCCCUGGCAACAGCUCAAAAACGAAGCUCAGAUGGAAGACUGCUGUUCAAUGCGGGGAACAUUGCCAACCAUUUCUUCACUGUACCAUUUCUGAGAGAUGUUGUCAAGUAUGGGCAAGAUGGGGGCCUUUUAAAAUUAUAUUUAUUGUUAAUCAGAAACUAAGACACUUGAGAGGGAUGCAGACACCCCAGGUCCAUAUCCCACAGAAUUCAUCUUUCCUGAGGAUCACUUAUCAAAUGGACAUUUAUCUCAUGUUGUGAUUGUUUUUAGUAAGAUGUAUUGUAAGGUGGGAAUCAUUGGAGCCCAUUCCCCAGCGCAUUAAUGGGAGGCCAAAACAUUUCUGUCUUCUCACUCUCCCACCCCCAACUAUGUGCUAGGUUCUGUUGAAGCAAAGCAUAAGAAAUGAAACUUUCUUUACCACAACUGUGAGCUUUUUAAAAAUACAGAUGUUCACCUUACACCAACUGAAUUAGAAUUUCAGGAGGUGGGUUCGGGGCAUCUAUAUUUUUAGAAAGCUGCCCACAAAAUUCUAAUUCAGCCGAUU
RNAcentral lists this small RNA (660 nucleotides) under Pongo abelii (Sumatran orangutan). RNAcentral describes it as "retained intron". The record is from RNAcentral. Lineage: Eukaryota; Metazoa; Chordata; Mammalia; Primates; Hominidae.